Molecule: ribosomal RNA, 430 nt
Filed under: Verrucomicrobiota bacterium
Lineage: Bacteria; Pseudomonadati; Verrucomicrobiota
Description: Verrucomicrobia bacterium partial 16S ribosomal RNA
Rfam family: Bacterial small subunit ribosomal RNA
Source: RNAcentral
UAGGGAAUCUUCGGCAAUGGGGGGAACCCUGACCGAGCAACGCCGCGUGAGUGAAGAAGGUUUUCGGAUCGUAAAGCUCUGUUGUUAAGGAAGAACGAGUGUGAGAAUGGAAAGUUCAUGCUGUGACGGUACUUAACCAGAAAGGGACGGCUAACUACGUGCCAGCAGCCGCGGUAAUACGUAGGGGGCUAGCGUUGUCCGGAAUCACUGGGCGUAAAGGGUUCGCAGGCGGAAUAACAAGUCAGAUGUGAAAGGCAUGGGCUCAACCCAUGUAAGCAUUUGAAACUGUAAUUCUUGAGAAGUGGAGAGGUAAGUGGAAUUCCUAGUGUAGCGGUGAAAUGCGUAGAUAUUAGGAGGAAUACCUGUGGCGAAGGCGACUUACUGGACACAAAUCUGACGCUGAGGAACGAAAGCGUGGGUAGCAAACAGG